RNAcentral lists this ribosomal RNA (497 nucleotides) under uncultured bacterium. RNAcentral describes it as "partial 16S ribosomal RNA". It matches the Rfam family "Bacterial small subunit ribosomal RNA", at positions 28 to 507 of the family's 1533-position model. The record is from RNAcentral.
GAUGAACGCUGGCGGCGUGCCUAAUACAUGCAAGUCGAGCGAACGGACGAGAAGCUUGCUUCUUUGAUGUUAGCGGCGGACGGGUGAGUAACACGUGGAUAACCUACCUAUAAGACUGGGAUAACUUCGGGAAACCGGAGCUAAUACCGGAUAAUAUUUUGAACCGCAUGGUUCAAAAGUGAAAGACGGUCUUGCUGUCACUUAUAGAUGGAUCCGCGCUGCAUUAGCUAGUUGGUAAGGUAACGGCUUACCAAGGCAACGAUGCAUAGCCGACCUGAGAGGGUGAUCGGCCACACUGGAACUGAGACACGGUCCAGACUCCUACGGGAGGCAGCAGUAGGGAAUCUUCCGCAAUGGGCGAAAGCCUGACGGAGCAACGCCGCGUGAGUGAUGAAGGUCUUCGGAUCGUAAAACUCUGUUAUUAGGGAAGAACAUAUGUGUAAGUAACUGUGCACAUCUUGACGGUACCUAAACAGAAAGCCACGGCUAACUACGUG